CCUACGGGAGGCAGCAGUAGGGAAUCUUCCACAAUGGACGAAAGUCUGAUGGAGCAACGCCGCGUGAGUGAAGAAGGGUUUCGGCGCGGUAAGCUCUGUUGGUAGUGAAGUAAGAUAGAGGUAGUAACUGGCCUUUAUUUGACGGUAAUUACUUAGAAAGUCACGGCUAACUACGUGCCAGCAGCCGCGGUAAUACGUAGGGGGCAAGCGUUGGUCGGAUUUAUUGGGCGUAAAGCGAGUGCAGGCGGUUCAAUAAGGCUGAUGUGAAAGCGUUCGGCUCAACCGGGGAAUUGCAUCAGAAACUGGUGAACUUGAGUUGAGUUGCGGAGAGUGGAACUCCAUGUGUAGCGGUGGAAUGCGUAGAUAU
Molecule: ribosomal RNA, 367 nt
Filed under: uncultured bacterium
Lineage: Bacteria
Description: partial 16S ribosomal RNA
Rfam family: Bacterial small subunit ribosomal RNA
Source: RNAcentral